CCUACGGGAGGCAGCAGUGGGGAAUAUUGCACAAUGGGGGAAACCCUGAUGCAGCGACGCCGCGUGAAGGAAGAAGUAUUCCGGUAUGUAAACUUCUAUCAGCAGGGAAGAAAAUGACGGUACCUGACUAAGAAGCCCCGGCUAACUACGUGCCAGCAGCCGCGGUAAUACGUAGGGGGAAAGCGUUAUCCGGAUUUACUGGGUGUAAAGGGAGCGUAGGCGGGGCAACAAGUCAGAAGUGAAAGCCCGGGGCUCAACUCCGGAACGGCUUUUGAAACUGUGGAACUAGAGUGCAGGAGAGGUAAGUGGAAUUCCUAGUGUAGCGGUGGAAUGCGGAGAUAUUAGGAGGAACACCAGUGGCGAAGGCGGCUUACUGGACUGUAAAUGACGCUGAGGCUCGAAAGCGGGGGGAGCAAACAGGAUUAGAUACCCCAGUAGUC
This 440-nucleotide ribosomal RNA is filed under the name uncultured bacterium. RNAcentral describes it as "partial 16S ribosomal RNA". It matches the Rfam family "Bacterial small subunit ribosomal RNA", at positions 338 to 795 of the family's 1533-position model. The record is from RNAcentral.